RNAcentral lists this ribosomal RNA (498 nucleotides) under uncultured bacterium. RNAcentral describes it as "partial 16S ribosomal RNA". It matches the Rfam family "Bacterial small subunit ribosomal RNA", at positions 30 to 523 of the family's 1533-position model. The record is from RNAcentral.
AUUGAACGCUGGCGGCAUGCCUUACACAUGCAAGUCGAACGGUAACAGGUCUUCGGAUGCUGACGAGUGGCGAACGGGUGAGUACUACAUCGGAACGUGCCUAGUAGUGGGGGAUAACUACUCGAAAGAGUGGCUAAUACCGCAUGAGAUCUACGGAUGAAAGCAGGGGAUCGCAAGACCUUGUGCUUCUGGAGCGGCCGAUGGCAGAUUAGGUAGUUGGUGGGAUAAAAGCUUACCAAGCCGACGAUCUGUAGCUGGUCUGAGAGGACGAUCAGCCACACUGGGACUGAGACACGGCCCAGACUCCUACGGGAGGCAGCAGUGGGGAAUUUUGGACAAUGGGCGAAAGCCUGAUCCAGCAAUGCCGCGUGCAGGAUGAAGGCCCUCGGGUUGUAAACUGCUUUUGUACGGAACGAAAAGCCCUGGGUUAAUACCCUGGGGUCAUGACGGUGCCGUAAGAAUAAGCACCGGCUAACUACGUGCCAGCCGCCGCCGUAA